UUAAUAAAAAAUAAAAUUUAU
This 21-nucleotide non-coding RNA is filed under the name Caenorhabditis elegans. Lineage: Eukaryota; Metazoa; Nematoda; Chromadorea; Rhabditida; Rhabditidae. The record is from RNAcentral.